AAUAGAUACCCAGGUAGUCCACGCCGUAAACGAUGUCGACUUGGAGGUUGUGCCCUUGAGGCGUGGCUUCCGGAGCUAACGCGUUAAGUCGACCGCCUGGGGAGUACGGCCGCAAGGUUAAAACUCAAAUGAAUUGACGGGGGGCCCGCACAAGCGGUGGAGCAUGUGGUUUAAUUCGAUGCAACGCGAAGAACCUUACCUACUCUUGACAUCCAGAGAACUUGCCAGAGAUGGCUUGGUGCCUUCGGGAACUCUGAGACAGGUGCUGCAUGGCUGUCGUCAGCUCGUGUUGUGAAAUGUUGGGUUAAGUCCCGCAACGAGCGCAACCCUUAUCCUUUGUUGCCAGCGGUUAGGCCGGGAACUCAAAGGAGACUGCCAGUGAUAAACUGGAGGAAGGUGGGGAUGACGUCAAGUCAUCAUGGCCCUUACGAGUAGGGCUACACACGUGCUACAAUGGCGCAUACAAAGAGAAGCGACCUCGCGAGAGCAAGCGGACCUCAUAAAGUGCGUCGUAGUCCGGAUUGGAGU
RNAcentral lists this ribosomal RNA (528 nucleotides) under uncultured bacterium. Its description in RNAcentral is "bacterial SSU rRNA". It matches the Rfam family "Bacterial small subunit ribosomal RNA", at positions 777 to 1304 of the family's 1533-position model. The record is from RNAcentral.